Molecule: ribosomal RNA, 235 nt
Filed under: uncultured bacterium
Lineage: Bacteria
Description: partial 16S ribosomal RNA
Rfam family: Bacterial small subunit ribosomal RNA
Source: RNAcentral
CGGACGGGUGAGUAACGCGUGGGUAACCUGCCUCAUACAGGGGGAUAACAGUUAGAAAUGGCUGCUAAUACCGCAUAAGACCACAGUACUGCAUGGUACAGUGGUAAAAACUCCGGUGGUAUGAGAUGGACCCGCGUCUGAUUAGGUAGUUGGUGAGGUAACGGCCCACCAAGCCGACGAUCAGUAGCCGACCUGAGAGGGUGACCGGCCACAUUGGGACUGAGACACGGCCCAG